AUUGAACGCUGGCGGCAUGCCUUACACAUGCAAGUCGAACGGUAACAGGUCUUCGGAUGCUGACGAGUGGCGAACGGGUGAGUAAUACAUCGGAACGUGCCUAGUAGUGGGGGAUAACUACUCGAAAGAGUGGCUAAUACCGCAUGAGAUCUACGGAUGAAAGCAGGGGAUCGCAAGACCUUGUGCUACUAGAGCGGCCGAUGGCAGAUUAGGUAGUUGGUGGGAUAAAAGCUUACCAAGCCGACGAUCUGUAGCUGGUCUGAGAGGACGAUCAGCCACACUGGGGCUGAGACACGGCCCAGACUCCUACGGGAGGCAGCAGUGGGGAGUUUUGGACAAUGGGCGCAAGCCUGAUCCAGCAAUGCCGCGUGCAGGAUGAAGGCCUUCGGGUUGUAAACUGCUUUUGUACGGAACGAAAAGCCCCGGGUUAAUACCCUGGGGUCAUGACGGUACCGUAAGAAUAAGCACCGGCUAACUACGUGCCAGCAGCCGCCGUAA
Molecule: ribosomal RNA, 498 nt
Filed under: uncultured bacterium
Lineage: Bacteria
Description: partial 16S ribosomal RNA
Rfam family: Bacterial small subunit ribosomal RNA
Source: RNAcentral